UACGGGGGGAGCAAGCGUUGUUCGGAUUUACUGGGCGUAAAGGGCGCGUAGGCGGCCAGCACAAGUCAGUUGUGAAAUCUCCGGGCUUAACUCGGAAAGGUCAACUGAUACUGUGCGGCUAGAGUGCAGAAGGGGCAACUGGAAUUCUCGGUGUAGCGGUGAAAUGCGUAGAUAUCGAGAGGAACACCUGCGGCGAAGGCGGGUUGCUGGGCUGACACUGACGUUGAUGCGCGAAAGCCAGGGGAGCGAACGGG
RNAcentral lists this ribosomal RNA (254 nucleotides) under uncultured bacterium. Its description in RNAcentral is "partial 16S ribosomal RNA". It matches the Rfam family "Bacterial small subunit ribosomal RNA", at positions 524 to 776 of the family's 1533-position model. The record is from RNAcentral.